This 468-nucleotide ribosomal RNA is filed under the name uncultured bacterium. RNAcentral describes it as "partial 16S ribosomal RNA". It matches the Rfam family "Bacterial small subunit ribosomal RNA", at positions 28 to 507 of the family's 1533-position model. The record is from RNAcentral.
GACGAACGCUGGCGGCGUGCUUAACACAUGCAAGUCGAACGGAAAGGCCCUGCUUUUGUGGGGUGCUCGAGUGGCGAACGGGUGAGUAACACGUGAGUAACCUGCCCUUGACUUUGGGAUAACUUCAGGAAACUGGGGCUAAUACCGGAUAGGAGCUCCUGCUGCAUGGUGGGGGUUGGAAAGUUUCGGCGGUUGGGGCUGGACUCGCGGCUUAUCAGCUUGUUUGUGGGGUAGUGGCUUACCAAGGCUUUGACGGGUAGCCGGCCUGAGAGGGUGAACGGCCACAUUGGGACUGAGAGACGCCCCAGACUGCAACGGGCGGCAGCAGUGGAGAGCAUUGCAGAAUGGGGGGGAGCCAGAUGCAGCAACGCCGCGUGCGGGAUGCCGGCCUUCGGGUUAUAAACCGCUUUCGACUGAGACGAAGAGUGAGUGACGGUAAUGGGUAAAGAAGCCCCGGCUAACUACGUG